This 264-nucleotide ribosomal RNA is filed under the name uncultured archaeon. Its description in RNAcentral is "partial 16S ribosomal RNA". It matches the Rfam family "Archaeal small subunit ribosomal RNA", at positions 717 to 982 of the family's 1478-position model. The record is from RNAcentral.
ACACGACUACAUUAGAUACCCGCGUAGUCCUAGCCGUAAACGAUACUCGCUAGGUGUCGGCCACGGUGCGACCGUUGUCGGUGCCGUAGGGAAGCCGUGAAGCGAGCCACCUGGGAAGUACGGUCGCAAGGCUAGAAACUUAAAGGAAUUGGCGGGGAGCACCACAACAGGUGGAGCCUGCGGUUUAAUUGGACUCAACGCCGGAAAUCUCACCGGAUAAGACAGCCGAAUGAUUGUCAAUCUGAAGGUUUACAUGACUAGCUG